This 211-nucleotide long non-coding RNA is filed under the name Lathyrus oleraceus (garden pea). Its description in RNAcentral is "Pisum sativum (pea) long non-coding RNA (PSAT_LNC012135)". The record is from RNAcentral. Lineage: Eukaryota; Viridiplantae; Streptophyta; Magnoliopsida; Fabales; Fabaceae.
UCAAGUUUAUUUUUAAUAUUAAAAAAUACCAAAAAAUAGUUUAUUCAUUUCUUGACUUCCAAUCUUCAUCUCACUUCUGUUUUUGAUUGUUUGACCUUGAAUUUCAAUGUUAUUGGUCAACAUAUGAGGAUUGGCAUGUGAUGUUCCAUUUAAUGCAUUUAUAUUUCUUUUACCAUUUUUGUCAUUUCCAUUUCUCUUAUUCAUCUCCUUC